RNAcentral lists this ribosomal RNA (481 nucleotides) under uncultured bacterium. RNAcentral's name for it is "partial 16S ribosomal RNA". It matches the Rfam family "Bacterial small subunit ribosomal RNA", at positions 28 to 507 of the family's 1533-position model. The record is from RNAcentral.
GACGAACGCUGGCGGCGUGCCUAACACAUGCAAGUCGAACGGAACUGUUUUGACAGUUUUCUUCGGAAUGAAUGUGAUUUGGUUUAGUGGCGGACGGGUGAGUAACGCGUGAGUAACCUGCCUUCAAGAGGGGAAUAACAUUCUGAAAAUAAUGCUAAUACCGCAUGACAUAGCGGAACCACAUGGUUUGAUAUCAAAGAUUUUAUCGCUUUAAGAUGGACUCGCGUCCGAUUAGUUAGUUGGUGAGGUGACGACUAACCAAGACCGGGAUCGGUAGCCGGACUGAGAGGUCGAACAGACAGAUUGGGAGUGAGACACGGCCCAGACACCUGAGGGAGGAAGCAGUGGGGGAUAUUGAGCAAUGGGGGCAAGACUGAGGAAGCCACGCCGCGUGAAGGAUGAAGGUUUUUGGAAUGCAAACUUCUUUUAUUAAGGACGAAAAAUGACGGUAAUUAAUGAAUAAGCUCCGGCUAACUACGUG